GAUGAACGCUGGCGGCGUGCUUAACACAUGCAAGUCGAACGGGAUCCCAGGAGCUUGCUCCUGGGUGAGAGUGGCGAACGGGUGAGUAAUGCGUGACCGACCUGCCCCAUACACCGGAAUAGCUCCUGGAAACGGGUGGUAAUGCCGGAUGCUCCAGUUGACCGCAUGGUCCUCUGGGAAAGCUUUUGCGGUAUGGGAUGGGGUCGCGUCCUAUCAGCUUGAUGGCGGGGUAACGGCCCACCAUGGCUUCGACGGGUAGCCGGCCUGAGAGGGCGACCGGCCACAUUGGGACUGAGAUACGGCCCAGACUCCUACGGGAGGCAGCAGUGGGGAAUAUUGCACAAUGGGCGCAAGCCUGAUGCAGCGACGCCGCGUGCGGGAUGACGGCCUUCGGGUUGUAAACCGCUUUUGACUGGGAGCAAGCCCUUCGGGGUGAGUGUACCUUUCGAAUAAGCAC
RNAcentral lists this ribosomal RNA (457 nucleotides) under uncultured bacterium. Its description in RNAcentral is "bacterial SSU rRNA". It matches the Rfam family "Bacterial small subunit ribosomal RNA", at positions 28 to 493 of the family's 1533-position model. The record is from RNAcentral.